UUAACCCCUCCGUUGAUGAACGCCAUUAUUGGCCAUGAAGCACCCCCGGCCGACCCUACAUCUCUCUCCCAUCCUCUAUAAAAGGGCAGCCGAGCUUCACUCUUCUCCCUCCCACAACCGAGCUCUCUUUCUCCCCGAGCUUCCUAUCUCUCUCCCACUCGCCCACGCCGUCGCUGGAGUUCGUCCACGUCGCUCGUCGUCGUACCGCGCCGUCUGAACGCUCACCGACGACCAUGCCCGUUCUUUGCUCGCCAAGACCGUCGUUCAUCCCAAGGUUGAAGACAACCCGCUAAUUUAUUUUCUAAAUCAUGUUUUGAAUUUAUUUAUGGACUUGUGAAUUAUUGUUGUAAUAUUGAUGCGAUUUGGCGAUUCACGUGUAUGAUUUUAGAGAUUCGAUAUAUACGUGAAACCAAAAUCAAACCCUGCGAGAAUAUUUUAAAUAUGCGUAUGAUUUUAUAAUUCUAAAAAUGAACACGGUCACUAUUCAAUAACUUAGUGAUUUUCAUACUAGAAAUGUUUAUAAUUAAUUUCGCUUUAGUGUGUGGAACGAUAAUUGUUAGUAGUAUUUUAAGUGUAAACUUAGUUGCAUGAAGAAAUUGAAAUAGGCACUAAGUCAUGUAUUUUCUAGUCACAUGAAAAUAUAUAUUACUAUUCAUGAUAAAUGAAUUCAUAAGUAUAGCACUUAAGUACUUAGAAUUAGUAAGAUAUUUAUUUAUGUCAUAAUAACCAUGAAUUGGUUAUUAAAAGUCCUAUUUAGUAAUUUACAAUUAAUUCUUGGUAUAUUAAUGUCAGAAGAAUUAUAAAUAAAUAAUUUUUAGUUAUACGUAUAAAUUCUAUUUAGAAAAAAAAGGAGAAAACCGAAAGGAUAGAAUUUUAUAAUAAUAUUAAAAUAACCUAAUUAGACACUCAUACUUUUCUAAUAAAAAAUUGAUAGUUAUAUUGGUAAACAUAGGUUUCUAACUAAUCAAGUAGAUAACUUGUUUCUAGUUUAAAAUGACCUUUUAAUAGAUAUCAUAUUUAACAAGGUUCGUUAUAGAUAUUUAAGUAUAGACGUCUUACAAAGAAAUUUAAAAGAAUAUAUAGACCAUAUGUUUCUUAAUAAAAAAAUAAAAGAUAAAUAUUUGUCUAAUUAUAUUUAGCCUUAUAUUCAAGUUUUUAUAAAUGCUGAUAUAUUUCAUCUCACAAUGUUUAAACGUAGUAUAGAGUUUUUCUAAAAAUAGGUGUUAAAAUGGAGUAAUUAGUGUUCUUGCUUUUGCAAACUAAAAUGGUAGUUUGUAUAAUGUCGAAUACAAUUUCAAUUUCCUUCUUAAAGAAUUAGAUCAUUUGUUUCUAAUUUAGAACUAAAGAGAAUUAAUAGAUUAAUUAUCCUUUCUCGUAAUUUAUUAAUCAACCCUAUAGUCAGUUUGUGCAUAACUAGAUAUAUGGCAUGAUUAAUGAUUUCAUAAAAUUUAGUCCACAUUAUAUACGAAUCACUUAGCUUUUCCUAAAGGAUAAAAUAAAGUAAUAGGAAUUUAAGUUCUUUUAUAACUUAAAACGUUACUUUAUAUAUAUUAACUUCGAAUAUAAUAAUAUAGGCCAUGUACUUUCUAAUAAAAAUAAAAGAUAGUUAUUUGUUCAUUAUCUUUUGCAUGAAAAUCCACUUAAGGACAUAUAAUCUUGUUUUUCAUAAAAUAUGUGUUUAAUAAUAAUGAUCUUUUCAUAUAACACCCAUUUAGAUUUAUAUCUUAAUUUGCCAUGAGUGAUUGGUUAACAAUAUUUUAUAAUAUGUUUCAUAAUGCUUCAUAAAUUAAUGUUUAAUAAUGUGUUUCGUAACUCAUUAACCUUAGAUAUAACGUAUAUAUUUUCAAAAAAAGUUAAAUAGUUUUAAUAUUGUUAUAACGUGUUUUAUCAUCCUAUAAACCAUUAAUCUUAGACAUAUCACAUACGACGUUUUAUAAAAGAUUAAAUUGGUGAACCUAAUAUUUGUAUAUUUUAAUUAAGAUAUUUAUAAGCUCAGGUCUUGUUUUAUAAAGUAUAGAUCACACAUUUUUGAAAAGAAUACCUUUUUAUUAUAACCCUUGUGUGUAACGUUUUUGAAAAGCGAACGCUCUUUUCGUUAGGCUUUCUUUUAGCUUUACGUAUGGUGAAUGUUGUAUGUUAUUGAAUGGUGUUUAUUCUUCUUGUUUGUUUGUGUGAUAUUCAGUGGUUGAUCUAGUAGUUAAGAAUCAAGAUCUAUUCCGAUCUGUGGAAGAACCUCAAGUUUUCUAUAAGCAAGGCAAGUGGACUUCUCCCUCUGCAUACUCUGUUUGAUCCCAAACAAUACAUUUAAUAAAGUUUAUUUUUCGAUAUAUAUAUGCAUAAUUUGAUGGGUUACCUAUUUAGAUACCCCUAACCUUUCCAACCUGACUCCUUGUUUAACCUAGGAUUAUGAUCUAAUCAAGUAGCUAUGCUAUUGCUACAACUUUAAAUUUAUGCAGUCACUCCUUUUUAUGAUAUUAAUGUUCCAAAUGGUAAGUUUACAUUGUUGUUGUUAACCCGAUGGUUAAACAAGAUUAUUGCAUAUUAAUUGAAACAUGGAGUGACCACCCGGGAAAACAGUGCUACCAUGAGAACUAUCAUGGAUCUGGUCUUGGCUAAAUAACUAGGGAAGUCUUAUGUUGGGUGCUGGUCAUGGUCGACAGGAACGAGGGCAUCUGGCAAGCUCUUAUAGUUCCGGCUCAGGCAGAUUGGAUACGGGCAUAGUUCCCAAAGCUUUACCCUGCAGACUGGUCUAUAAGUUGGUUACGUUAGGUGUGCCUUAUGUAGUUUGACCAUUUCCAGCAUUUGCGUAAUGAGGAUUCUAGGGAGAAGCCUCGUAGUGAGACCCUAGCCAUUCACCUCGGAAGUGAAUACGGGUCUAGCUAACCCGGGCUAGAAGGGAAUCGCGACUCAUGGGUAAAGAUGCGCCACCUCUGUAGAGUGUAAAACUGAUAUAUCAGCCGUGCUCACGGUUAUGAGCAGCCUAGACUCCUCACAUGAUAAUUGAACUUGAAGAUGGAAAUAAAUCGAGAUCCGAUGAUCUACCAAUGGUUUGCUUAAGUGGUUUCACUUAAGUGUUUUUGAUAUACUCUUAUACCUUUGUUUAAUGGGAAUACUUAGGAUUCAUAAUUAUUAGUAAGACAGGUGUUGUUAAUAAAAUGUUGACCAAGUAAAAUGCUUACUGCUCAACCUUAGCCUCACCUUGUUAAACUUGCAUUAGUUUUUCCCCCAAUUACUGAGCCCCGACCAUAAGUGAGCUCACCCUUGCUUAAUUUUGAUCAGAAAUUUGCAGAUGAAGAUAUGAUGUUGAACUCCAUGGAUGCUAGUCUAGUGAUACCCCCGGUCAUCUUCCUGUGGAUGGAUGUCCAUGUUCGCUGUACUUUGAUGAAUAAAGGUUAAGACAUUAUGUCUGUUCAAA
Molecule: long non-coding RNA, 3415 nt
Filed under: Zea mays
Lineage: Eukaryota; Viridiplantae; Streptophyta; Magnoliopsida; Poales; Poaceae
Description: long non-coding RNA (ZMAY_LNC004200)
Source: RNAcentral